CCUACGGGUGGCAGCAGUGAGGAAUAUUGGUCAAUGGACGAGAGUCUGAACCAGCCAAGUAGCGUGAAGGAUGACUGCCCUAUGGGUUGUAAACUUCUUUUAUAUGGGAAUAAAACGUUCCACGUGUGGGAUUUUGUAUGUACCAUAUGAAUAAGGAUCGGCUAACUCCGUGCCAGCAGCCGCGGUAAUACGGAGGAUCCGAGCGUUAUCCGGAUUUAUUGGGUUUAAAGGGAGCGUAGGUGGAUUGUUAAGUCAGUUGUGAAAGUUUGCGGCUCAACCGUAAAAUUGCAGUUGAAACUGGCAGUCUUGAGUACAGUAGAGGUGGGCGGAAUUCGUGGUGUAGCGGUGAAAUGCUUAGAUAUCACGAAGAACUCCGAUUGCGAAGGCAGUUCACUGGACUGCAACUGACACUGAGGCGCGAAAGUGUGGGUAUCAAACAGGAUUAGAUACCCUUGUAGUC
This 460-nucleotide ribosomal RNA is filed under the name uncultured bacterium. RNAcentral's name for it is "partial 16S ribosomal RNA". It matches the Rfam family "Bacterial small subunit ribosomal RNA", at positions 338 to 795 of the family's 1533-position model. The record is from RNAcentral.